GCAAAGUGGAGGUGGGAUCUGAGAGGUGCCAGCAGAUGUGAGCUGCUGCCAGCAUCCAGGCAGCUGCCAAAUGUGGCCCUGCAGGGCUUGGCUGCACUGCUGCCUCUCGGGGGGAGGUGAGCUUUUGAGCAAAAUCCCAGGCGUUUCGGGUUUUUUUUUCACUGUGCUCAACCACUACAGCUCUCAUCCUCCGCCCUGAGGCAGCUGUGCUGUGUAGUUCAGUGUGUCAAAAAGUUAAAGCUUCCAGCUGCCCUUGGAGAGGAUCAGCGAGCUCCAGGGGCUCGGAGAGAUUUCGGAGCAGCCGAUGAGUGCAGGGAGGACCAAAACCAUCCGAUGUGUCAGGCGCAGCCUGAGCUGCCUCUGGCCUGCUGCCACCCCUACCAAAACAAAGGUUUGGAGCACAACAUCCAAGGGGACGGGAGCUGAAAAGCCAAAUUAGAAGUGUGGGUGCCAUGAUAGCAAUGCCUUUGGCUCCACCAAAACCCUGUGUCCAGGUUCCCUCAGUGCUGGGAAUGGUGCUCUCAGUCCACCUUUUCGCUCUGGCUGUUCCCUGGGCAUGGAGGGGCUCGAGGUGGCUGGAGAGGGAGUGCAAGAAGCUGCACCCAUCCCCACAGUGGGCUGCAGUGGGAAGAGGUGCGGCCGCAAGAAAAAUUAACUUCCCUUGUGCUUCAUCUUGGCUGGGGAUUUGAGUCCUUGGUGGCUUAUUUUAACAGCCGGUUGUUAGUCACUUGUUAGUCAAAUACCCUUUUGCUAUUUGGUCCUUUUGAAACUGCUGUAUGUGAAAUUGUUAAAUUAUUUUUUUUCCUACCCCUUAGAUCGUGUGGGAUGCCGGUUGCCAGAAGCUAAUGUUCAUGGUGAUGUGCCUGUGCCUGGUACCCUGGGCAGCCUGAGGAGCUGCUAUUACUGACACCGCGAUUGCUAGUUCCUGCCAAGGCGACCGAAACCCUCAGCCAGGCUCCGGGCAGGAGCGAUCCGGCAGGGCUGCCUCGCCAGGGGAUGCUCCCGCAGCCAUCGCCACCUCUUCUCCCCUCCCAGAGCCGCGCAGGCGUGCCGGGCUGGAGAACUCGUUGCUUUUUUCCUUCAAAGGACAGGCACGAUUGCCUCAAUAUUUGCAGAAAAUGCUGUUGACUAUUGCAAAGGGAAAAGUUAAAGGCUGGGAGCGGUGCAGGGAGCUGACAGCGAGCGGGGAACACGCAGCCUGCGCAACUUCGGCUGCCGCUAGACAUGGCAUCCCUGUGCCUACUUAAUCAACAUUUGCUUUCGGCUUGUGCUGGACCAGCAACACUGAGGAAAAAUAAAUUCCUUGGGAUAAAAGCAGCUCUCCACCGCGGUGUUAGAAGCACAAAGGUGUCAGCAGCAUGACAUAGAUGAGAUUUGUUUAACACUCCUCUGAGCCUUUUAAACCACAAAUUAAUGAACUUGAGACCGACGCAAUAUUGACGGACAAGAUACCUGGCUAGAAAGACUGAGCUGGGACCACCAAAAUAGCUUGGAGAGGGAAGAGAAAACCCAGCCGAUGGGAGAAACAGGCUCUGUGUACAGAAGGUGCAGGAUGCUGCAUCUCCCCCCAGGCCCCGCCGCACAUCGCCUCUCCAGGCUCGAACCACUGGAGCACGGCCAGGUACCACAGCAGGACCCGGUGCCAGGACCGGGAGGGCUGGAGCAAACUUGUGUUGGUGUCACCGCAUCCAAAGCUUUCCUCAGCUGGGAAGGACGCUGCUGGCUCACCGCGACCCAGAGAGGCACCAGAGAGAAGCGCCGACGGCCAGAAUUAAGGGUAAAAGGGAGUAAAAUCCCCCAGGGACAGGGAUGGACAUCUCAGUGCGUGCCGCUUCGGCCGUGCCCCCAGCCGCUUUUGCCCUCCCUGCCCCAACGUCUUGACAUGCAGAGAAAAGCCGGGCUGAAGGGACGAUUUCACGGAGAUUAACCUCGCGCGCUGCGCUGGGGCUGCUGCUGCCCUCGACACCGGGUCCCCCGUGUAUCAAAGGCGGAUUACAGAUAUAUUAGCCCCACCACCGGUUUUAUUAGCAGUGGUUUAUCAUGUGGAGGCGGGAUGGCCAAGGGCAGGGGACGAGGGAGCCUGGUCACCCUCUGAGAACCCGCAGCGUCACCAGAGAAGUUUUAAUUGAAUAUUUGGGAGGGGACCCAGGCUGGGGUCUGCGCUUGCUGCUUGGCCCCGGUACAGCCCACGUCCCCAAGAUUUGUGGUGCUGAUGGGCAAUGCCAGCAGUGCCCACGGUGAGGGAGAGGGGAAGCCUUCGGCCUCACCGCAGGGAAGGCUGCCCCUCUGUGCCACCCCAAGCUGGGUUAGAGAGAUUUGAUUCAAAACAAACUCUCUUUUGGGAGGCGCUCGGAUGGCUCCUGCAGGGGGUGAAGAUGCUGGUUGUGUCCUGACCGGGCGCGUCCCUCCCCAUCCUGCACAAAAUCUCCCCAAGGCUGGAGGAAUUGGCCUCCUCAGCCCCAAAUCCCAAGCAUCCUGGUGCGGCACUGGGGUACCCAGCCUCAGGCAGAUGCUGGGAUGCCUGGCAUCGAUGCGUCGAGGCACGUCGGUGCUGGCAGGGUGGGGGGGGUUGAGCCUG
Molecule: long non-coding RNA, 2578 nt
Organism: Falco peregrinus (peregrine falcon)
Lineage: Eukaryota; Metazoa; Chordata; Aves; Falconiformes; Falconidae
Exons: 7
Source: RefSeq, a predicted model, not a curated record